RNAcentral lists this ribosomal RNA (465 nucleotides) under uncultured bacterium. Its description in RNAcentral is "partial 16S ribosomal RNA". It matches the Rfam family "Bacterial small subunit ribosomal RNA", at positions 338 to 795 of the family's 1533-position model. The record is from RNAcentral.
CCUACGGGAGGCAGCAGUAGGGAAUCUUCCACAAUGGGCGAAAGCCUGAUGGAGCAACGCCGCGUGGGUGAAGAAGGUCUUCGGAUCGUAAAACCCUGUUGUUAGAGAAGAAAGUGCGUGAAAGUAACUGUUCACGUUUCGACGGUAUCUAACCAGAAAGCCACGGCUAACUACGUGCCAGCAGCCGCGGUAAUACGUAGGUGGCAAGCGUUAUCCGGAUUUGUUGGGCGUAAAGGGAACGCAGGCGGUCUUUUAAGUCUGAUGUGAAAGCCUUCGGCUUAACCGGAGUAGUGCAUUGGAAACUGGGAGACUUGAGUGCAGGAGAGGAGAGUGGAAUUCUAGGUGUAGCGGUGAAAUGCGGAGAGAUAGGGAAGAACACCAGUGGCGAAAGCGGCUCUCUGGUCCGUAACUGACGCUGAGGUUCGAAAGCGUGGGUAGCAAACAGGAUUAGAUACCCCAGUAGUC